RNAcentral lists this ribosomal RNA (279 nucleotides) under uncultured bacterium. RNAcentral's name for it is "partial 16S ribosomal RNA". It matches the Rfam family "Bacterial small subunit ribosomal RNA", at positions 506 to 784 of the family's 1533-position model. The record is from RNAcentral.
UGCCAGCCGCCGCGGUAAUACGUAGGGACCAAGCGUUGUUCGGAUUUACUGGGCGUAAAGGGUGCGUAGGCGGCGUGAUAAGUCAAUUGUGAAAUCUCCGAGCUUAACUCGGAACGGCCAAUUGAUACUAUUGUGCUAGAGUGCAGAAAGGGCAACUGGAAUUCUUGGUGUAGCGGUGAAAUGCGUAGAUAUCAAGAGGAACACCUGAGGCGAAGGCGAGUUGCUAGGCUGACACUGACGCUGAAGUACGAAAGCUAGGGGAGCGAACGGGAUUAGAUA